This is a long non-coding RNA of Vigna angularis (adzuki bean), 1190 nucleotides long. RefSeq lists it as uncharacterized. The transcript is spliced from 2 exons. Lineage: Eukaryota; Viridiplantae; Streptophyta; Magnoliopsida; Fabales; Fabaceae. The record is from RefSeq and is a predicted model, not a curated record.
UUCUCAACUCAUUCCUGAAUAUUUUUAAUUGAGCAUCACAUGGUUGUUUGAAAAUGGUAUCUUUUGCAGAUUGCUGAUAAAAAAUUCUAAAAUUUCGCAGUAUGCAUUGUAAUGGAAGCUUUUGUCAGGAAGUGGAGAAAAUGGUUAUAUUCUUAGACAGCAUCGAGGCAACAAACCUGUCUGUUGAACUAAAGACAACACGAAUUUUCAACUUCGGUUAAGAAACAAGGACUAAAAAGGUGUAGGGCAAACUUACUACAGAUGAUGCAGGCACCAUACAGUAUCUGAUAAAAAGGAACUUGCUUGGGUGAGAAAUACACAAAGCAGAUCAGAAAACAUAUGACAUAUUUUGUUGAGUUGCUUCCCUCUGAUUUAUGGAUCAGUUGCCGACUUUCCUUUGCAUUUACAUGAUUGCAGUUUGAAGACAUUGGUGAACAAAGGAGACAAUUAGUAACAAAAAAGAAGCAUCCAGUAGUUGUAGGCUUGGAGCCUAGCUGCAUAUGGAAUUCAAGUAUAAAAAAGUAAAAACCAAUCAGUGUAAGUUACAGAAUAAUAAAAAGCACAUGAAAUAAAAAAAAUGAUUGUUCAAGAGCAAGGUUCACCAAGCCCGAUUAGGGCUGGAAGUGCAGCAGCCUGUUAUCCCUCCACUGUCAAGAGCCGAAGGUUAUCGCUGCUCUGUGAAACCAGCCUCACGCUGUGCCCUCCUGUCUAGAAACCAGGAAACCUAUGCCUUCGCAAAGGUCCCUUGGCUCAACUCCUGACUUGGAGUGGGCAAGCCAGCAAGAUGCAGCUUCCAGACCAGCUUAGCAAGCCAUAGCCUUGUUCAAUCACCUUAAAGCCCCCACUCAGGUCACAAGCUGACGUUACCCAGCUCGGCGAACUGACAUGAUUGUCAGAAGAUUUAUAAAGACUAAUUUUUCUAAUAUUCUGAACAAUGUGGGACUUCCAGAUGGCAAUAUGAAGUGCGUAGAGUCUUGAGUUGGAAACUGAGGCUUGUUCCUUUCCGUCUAUUUUCUCCAUGGUAUGAUAUGAUACAUCGAAAUACGUUAUAACCUUGUAACCCAAAAGGUUUCAAUGAGUCAUUUUAAGUUGAUGAGAAAAACAUAAAAGUGGCAUUUUGAAGUGUUGAUUCCACUUUGAUUAAUACCCUCAUCAGAAAAAGUUCAAUUUUGAUUAUAUCUUUUAAUUUA